This is a long non-coding RNA of Athene cunicularia (burrowing owl), 2390 nucleotides long. RefSeq lists it as uncharacterized. Lineage: Eukaryota; Metazoa; Chordata; Aves; Strigiformes; Strigidae. The record is from RefSeq and is a predicted model, not a curated record. The transcript has 2 exons.
CGACGCGUGGCUAAACGCCCCGGGAGGCUUGGCCUCACCCCUGGCCAGCUCAGAGGAGAGGCUCUGAGCCACGUAUCCCAGGCUGCCACACGCCAUUGGCACAGGCAGGGAUGAAGCUAAAGUGCCAGCUCUGCAAAGCCAAACCAGGCUCCGGCAAAACACGUUCACUCCCGAGUUCCUGCUAACAGCAUGUUCUCUUCACCUAUUUUUUCAGCUAAGCCUUUUAUAGAGGAGAAAGGUUAUCUAAGUAGAGCACAGGGAUCUGAUGCCCUGUUUGUGUAGACAAAGCCAGGCCUGUGCAGCACUGGGAGUCUGUGAGCUGAGCUGAGCUCUCAUUGUCCCAGGUUUCAGCUGGAGCAGAGCUGAGCUGGUCAUGUCGACCCCAGAAACUAAUCAUCUUCCUCCGAGCCCUCGCAGGAGCUAACGAAGUCCUGCUGCAUGGAAUAAUAGGCCUGGCAAGACCUCAAGCUAAGAAUUAACUAGUCGGUUGUGCAGAAUCUCCGGGGGGUGAAGAACAAGCCUCUUGUGCCACCCUGAGCUCAUUUAGAAAAGCAGGAAACCUCUUUGCCUUUGCAACCCUCUCCUGUCUUCAUCUGAAAUCAGCCCUUCGGCCUGGUGCCUCGCCGGUGUCUCACGGGGCGGGUGCUGGGGCUGAGCGGUGGCGCUGAGCGCAGGGAGGGACAGGUGGCAGCCGUGGCCCGGCGGGGUUUGGUGGCAGUGCAGGGCAGCUCUGCUCUGCGCUGGGUUUCCUGGUCUGCGUUGCUAAUUGUCAUGAUUAAAUGAGGAGUGAGAAAGAAAAGGCAGUGCUUGAAUUGGUGUUAAAUUUAUUGAUGAGUGGAAAAACCCGUUGGCUUUGAAGCUGCCCGGAGAGGGGUCCCCUGGCUGAGGGGAGCUCCUGGGAGCGAGGAGGCAGCAGCUUGGGGUGGGGGUGUCACCUCCAGAAGUGCUGUUUGAACGGUGGCUGUGGGCGUUGGUAGGUCUGGUUUUUGCUUCCCAGUGUCAGAGCCCCAGUACGGUGGGUGACCAGCGCAGGGAAGGGGCAGUUAACCCACAGCAACCUGCUCCGAAGUCUGAAAGGUCGACGGCUCCUCCGCGCCGGCCGGGGCCGGGACUGGAUCCCGCCCUGGACUCUGCUGUGUGCGGCCGGAUCCCACGCUGCGCCCAGUGCUCGAGUUCCUCGGCACAGAGGAGCUGCCCGGGGCCCCCGUGCUCUCCCGCUUGCCCCAGCCCCGUCCUGGGCAUGGCUGCAGCCCCUCCUGGGUGCCAGCUCCCCCCGGCACAAGAGCCCGGCCGGGGGCUGGCCGAGGAGCAGAGCAGACGGGAACGCUGCCGGGGCCUGCGCUCGGUCCCAGGGUCGGGGAUCCCUUCCCCAGCCGUGCCGCUGCCCUGGGGUUCGCUCUCUGAGGCCUUUCCUCUUGGGUAGUUGAGCUGCAAUUUAACAUUUCUACUUCUGCAGUAUCAGCAACAGUUUCCUCUUGCCCCUGUUCUGGAACUGAACCCGUCCAGGCGUGGCCAGGCUCCCCUACACCGGGACGGAAGGGAGCUGCGGCCCCGGAGGGAGCAAACCCGCCGUGGUGCAGCGAGAUGAGUCCUGGCGUCAGCUGCUCUCCGCAGCCCGCUCAGAUCUUCCGGCCGCUCCUUGCUGUCGCUUUUCUUAUUUAAAAAAAAAACCUGGCGUGCCAUCAGAUUUCCUGCUGGUGAUGAAAGGACCCAGAGCUGGGUCCUGCUGUGGGCGAUGCUGUUUCUGAUUUGUAGGGAGAUCAUUUAUAGCGGCACUUCAGGGGUUUUCCCCGCUGUACUCAGGAGUUCAGGUGUUGGUACCGCAGGGCUCAGCGCGGGGACGAUAAACCCGGGCGAGCGCAGGGCACGCUGCCGCCGUACGGCCACGGCCACCGGUGCCUCGGAGCCAGAGGCCACCGUGGCGGAGCCUCAGCGCUGGGGACGAGGGUCAGACAGACCCAGGUGGCGACUGGAUUUUUCUCCAUUAGAGAAGCAAAGCGGUGUGAGCUGCUGUUAGCCUGUGGCAUCCUUCACCGCCGCGCCAGAGAGCUGUCUGCGGGAACAGGGAGACAGACGGACGUCCCCGCGCCCGCAGCCUCUCUCUGUGAUGGUUUUUUUUUUUAAAGCCAGACUUGCCCAGCUGAUGUUGCUUUGAAAUCAAAAUUGUAAAUACAUUUAAUUUGGAACUUCAUCUCCUUCAAACUCUGAUUUAUUCACAGACUGAUCAGAUUAAGUCUGUAGGUUGCAGUGGCUAUAAAAUAUUUACAUUGACACUGCACAUUGAUUUCUGGGGAGCAGCAGUGCCAUGCAAGGCUCUAAAUCUUCCGGGCUCUGUGGUGCUGGUGAUGGAUCGGUCUCCAGUGAUCCUGCUUGCUUAUUGCAUGCAUUAA